GUCACAACAAAAUAUCUUAGUAUAUUAAAAGAUCAUAAGAACAUAAUUUAGGGGAAAAUUAAGAUAAGAACGAAAAUGAAACUACACCGUCCCAACUUAAAACAACCGCCAAUGCCGCCCUCUACUGGAGAAAAGCACAAAGACAGGCGAGCUGUGACAGCAGCUUCCGCUCAGUCGUGUAUUUAAUUUGAUAAAAGCAAACGGAUCAAUGCAUCGUCAGGACGUUUUUAGUCACUUUACUUUCACGCUGUACGAUGAUUUUUCAUGCCAUGAUUAUUGGCCGUAAUUACAUUAAUAUAUUCUAAUCAUAACAGGAAGGAAACGAUUCUGUUUCGCAGGUUUCAGCCACAUCAAACUGUGCAGGAAGCUGAGAGUGCGCGUGACGAGGCACCCCGGCGUCGGACGCAGUCAGUGCUGCGAGAUGCUGCUGCUGUGCUGGUCGCCUCUGCUGCUCUGCCUCUGCCUCCGCGCAGGUACUGUACAUCCAUGUGCUUCAGCUGGGGGGGGGCUGUAUGCGUCUGGGAGCGUCUUCAGCUCAGCGCUGACCCUCUGCACGUUUCGUCCCAGAGAACGUCGCCGUCAUCCGGGCACCGGGCGAGAACGUCACCCUGCGGUGCUCCCUGGACGGAUGCGCCCGCAGCGCCCACGGCUACGUCGGCAUGUACCUGUACAGGUACGCCGGCAGCCGGGAGGAGGUGCUGUACUACCACGGCGUGGACGGAGCGGACAAGGUCUCCGCGCGGGGCAGAUACACGCGCCGGGUCGAGAAGCAGGGAUCCCUGCGGAGCCACGGCAUCAGCAUCCGCGAGCUGACGGCGCGCGACUCCGGCGUCUACAGCUGCGUGUACAAGCAGACGCCGCAGGACGAGACCACGUGCAACGUGUACACGCUGGCAGUGAGCGACGCAGCUCCCUCUCCAGCGUCUCCCGAGCAUCCUCCCACGAACCCCCCCCACGGCGACACCCACGCGUGGCCGCCGCUGGCGCUGGUGACACCCGCCGCCGUCCUGCUCAGCGUGCUGCUGACCCUGCUCUUCGUCAAGGUCCUGGUCCCGUCGGUGAGUCCGGGGCCAGUAACGCGUGCGUUAUUUACGGUUGUCUGACUCCAGACCACCGACGUGCUGUACGAUUAGCAGGCCUGACGCGCUCGCCCACUGCUGAUGGCAUCUAAAAACCACCCGCUUGCUGAAGUGCCAGUGCUUCUGCUGGUUUUAAUUUCUAAGAAUGAGGUCCGACACAAUCACCCAAUCACAAUGUGUUUACUCGUCAUCUCCGUGACACAAAUGUCCUGCAGCAAAUAGCAAACUUUGAUUCCAACAUAUUUGUUUCUGCUCAGAAUAUUCUUUCCUGAUGACAGUUUUAUUAUAGUAUGUUUAGAGAUGUAGUAACUGUGUUUUCACAACCACCAGGUGAAACACUGGGCCAGCAGCAGCAGAAGGGCGAGAAGCGGCUCCUUGGACCCCAGCGAGUACGUGUAUGAGGUCAUGACUAAGAACGGCCUCCAGGCUGCGGCACCCAACCCGUACGACGCCGCUUAGCAAAAGUCCGCUUGUAUGAUAUGUUUUAAGGCGAAAUUCAAUCUAAAAUGCGUAAUAUAGAAAAUACAGGAGACCUCUUAAAGGAGCUGUGGAAUUGCAGACCUGCACAGUUCUGUUUGAAAAAGACAUGAAACGAUGGUUUUUGUGUGUCAGCAGGAAUCAUUGCACACAUGCACAUGGAAAAUGUAUGUAUGAAACAGAUGCAGUUUCCUUCAUCAGAUUGCAUUUUGUAAACUGAUAUCGCUGUAACCACAUGCCUGUUUGUGACGCGCGGUGGUUUUCUUUGGUUUUUAUUAGAAGCGACGUUGGUCGGUAAACGGCAGGAAGCGAAAUCUAAAGGAGAGUAAAUAACGCUUAAUAAGGUCAAAACAAAUAAUAUUUUGGGUUUCAUCGUGUUUGCUCUUGAGCCUUGUGUGUUUUGAAGGACAUAUUCACAGCUGACCAAAACUUCCUGGUCUUUGUUUCACACAGUCAAAACACCAGCAUCGGUGAAAUCUCUUAUCAUGUUUGUGUCGUCUCCUCAGUCCGUUGAACUGAUUGUCUGAACCACAGGCCUUUUACAACGCAGACAAGCCUGCAUCACAGGAAACACAGGCUGUGAACGCAGGCUUUACAGCAUCAACACAAAACACAGGAAACAUCAUCUUGGACUUGGAAUUUUGCUUUUAACAUCAUAAUAACCGCUCAUAAUAAAUGUAGUGGUAAAACGUGCUGUGCA
Molecule: long non-coding RNA, 2256 nt
Organism: Betta splendens (Siamese fighting fish)
Lineage: Eukaryota; Metazoa; Chordata; Actinopteri; Anabantiformes; Osphronemidae
Source: Ensembl